RNAcentral lists this transfer RNA (67 nucleotides) under Pinctada maxima (silver-lipped pearl oyster). RNAcentral's name for it is "tRNA-Gly". Lineage: Eukaryota; Metazoa; Mollusca; Bivalvia; Pterioida; Pteriidae. The record is from RNAcentral.
GCUUUUGGAGUGUGGGAGAGUGCACGUAGGCUUUCCAAGUCUAAAGGCCAAAUUUUUGGUAAAAGCA